This is a long non-coding RNA of Leguminivora glycinivorella, 509 nucleotides long. RefSeq lists it as uncharacterized. The transcript is spliced from 3 exons. The record is from RefSeq and is a predicted model, not a curated record. Lineage: Eukaryota; Metazoa; Arthropoda; Insecta; Lepidoptera; Tortricidae.
GCUUGAAAAGACUUUUCAAGAAUAUAAGGAACUCAACCUUGAAAUUUCAUUGUUGGACCCUGCGGAUUCCGAACGUGUUGAGGACUUCGAGGAGAAAUAUGAUCUGCUCAAAUCGUUCUAUGCGGGUGUAGUAAACAAGGCAUUGGACGCCUCUACGUCGAGCGUCUCACCGCAACCAUCCUUUUCGUCUCCUGGAGGCUGUAAUGCCUCGCCAUUUAGGCUGCCUCCAAUAAAUCUAAAAGUGUUCGCGGGAGAGAGCAACGGGCUGCUGCCUUGGAGUCCCUGGGAGAGCGGACGCCUUCAGGGCGCCGGUCUAGUUUAGUUGCGAGUAGUGUUAAAGUGGCCAAGCCGCUUAAGUCAGGUAUAAACAAAUGCGCUUUUGCCGGAGCAGCUGCCAGCCCUGCCUAGCAAGCUGAUCCUGCAGAAUACACGCUUUGGGUUUAUCGUUGCUGGAUUGGCUGGUGCUUCCGACACAGCCCCGGUAUCCAACUUAGUAUCAAAUUAUUGCU